UGGGGAAUAUUGGACAAUGGGCGAAAGCCUGAUCCAGCCAUGCCGCGUGAGUGACGAAGGCCUUAGGGUUGUAAAACUCUUUCGUCGGGGACGAUAAUGACGGUACCCGAAGAAGAAGCUCCGGCUAACUUCGUGCCAGCAGCCGCGGUAAUACGAAGGGAGCUAGCGUUGUUCGGAAUCACUGGGCGUAAAGCGCACGUAGGCGGAUAGUUAAGUCAGGGGUGAAAUCCUGGGGCUCAACCCCAGAACUGCCUUUGAUACUGGCUGUCUCGAGGUCGAGAGAGGUUGGUGGAAUUCCUAGUGUAGAGGUGAAAUUCGUAGAUAUUAGGAAGAACACCAGUGGCGAAGGCGGCCAACUGGCUCGAUACUGACGCUGAGGUGCGAAAGCGUGGGGAGCAAACAGGAUUAGAUACCCCAGUAGUCCCUGAGCGGGCUGGCAAGGCG
RNAcentral lists this ribosomal RNA (444 nucleotides) under uncultured bacterium. RNAcentral's name for it is "bacterial SSU rRNA". It matches the Rfam family "Bacterial small subunit ribosomal RNA", at positions 355 to 822 of the family's 1533-position model. The record is from RNAcentral.